GAUGAACGCUAGCGACAGGCCUAACACAUGCAAGUCGAGGGGCAGCACGGUGUAGCAAUACACGGGUGGCGACCGGCGCACGGGUGAGUAACGCGUAUGCAACCUGCCUACUACAAGGGGAUAACCCGUUGAAAGACGGACUAAUACCCUAUAACACAGGGAAUCCGCAUGGAUAUAUUUGUUAAAGAUUUAUCGGUAGUAGAUGGGCAUGCGUUCCAUUAGCUUGUUGGUGAGGUAACGGCUCACCAAGGCAACGAUGGAUAGGGGAACUGAGAGGUUGAUCCCCCACACUGGAACUGAGACACGGUCCAGACUCCUACGGGAGGCAGCAGUGAGGAAUAUUGGUCAAUGGACGAGAGUCUGAACCAGCCAAGUCGCGUGAAGGAAGACGGCCCUACGGGUUGUAAACUUCUUUUGUAAGGGAAUAAAUAGUCUUACGUGCUAAGACGUUGCAGGUACCUUACGAAUAAGGAUCGGCUAACUCCGUGCCAGCAGCCGCGGUAAAAGUC
RNAcentral lists this ribosomal RNA (509 nucleotides) under uncultured bacterium. RNAcentral's name for it is "bacterial SSU rRNA". It matches the Rfam family "Bacterial small subunit ribosomal RNA", at positions 28 to 526 of the family's 1533-position model. The record is from RNAcentral.